UACAUAAUUUCUUUGGAAAGUUAGGUAAGUGUAUUUAUUUUAAGAGCAAUUGCUUAUAUAUCCUUGAAAAGCUUUAAACUUUUUAAUUUAUUUCUCUUAAAAGACUAAUAUUGAAAUUGUUCUUUUUACGUUCCAAUCUAUUUCUAAUAUAUCUAUAGAGUUAAAAUUUAUUAAUAAACUUUAUUAUCUCUAUAAAAUUACUAUUUUGCCAUUUCAAAUAUACCCUUUUGUCAUUACUGACUUUUCUUUUUUUUUUGAGAAAUAGGUAACACGCUAUCCGCUUCAUUUAAUAAGAAGAUGAAUUUAGCUACAUAGAGUAGGCAGUCAGGGCCUUUCAGAAUCACCGACUUUUCUUAUUUGCCCUUAAGUUAGGGGCAAAAAAAAUAUUUUAUUUUUUGGUCUUUUCAAAUAUACCCUUUUAUCAUCACCAAUAUUUCUUAUUUGUUCUUAAGUUAAGGACAAAAGUGGUAUUUUAAUUUUUUUUAACUGUGGUAGCUAUUUAACUUACGUUUAACCUAAGUUAACUUAACGGGUGGUAACUGUAGGGAUAUUUUGAAAUAACGAGAAAUAUAUGAAAAGUAUAUUGAAAAGAAAAAAAAAAAAGUAAGAAUAAAUAAAAUAUUUUUGAAGUUUCAAAAGGUAUAGAAGCAAUUAUUCUUUUAUUUCAAGUAGAAGUAUGUUAGGUUUAUUAAAUCUGACCAAAUACAAAUCAAAUAAAAUUGACAUAUUUAUUUAUAUAGAAAUUAAAUUUAUUACUAGCAUCAUACAAUUUCCUCAACUCUGUAUUUUAAAAGAGGGGUAGAAGUAUUAGAAAAUCAGAUAUCUGUUAUAAUACCAAUUAUUAUGGUUGAAAUUUUACAGAAAAAUUACCGCUGGUUAAGGUGGCAGAUCUCCAACAGAUCGAUGAUGCUAAAUAUAUACUUAUUUUGCUAUAUAUAUAUAUAGAAUUAACAUGCAAAGAUUUUUAAAGAAUAACUUGUAUAAGAUAUUUUGGAAGACGCAAAUCAAUCAUGGCACUCAGUGAUAUGGUGGCCAAGCAUAAUAAUAUGUAGAAUAUAUAGAAUUAACAUGCAAAGAUUUUUAAAAAAUAACUUGUAUAAGAUAUUUUGGAAGACGCAAAUCAAUCACGACACUCAGUGAUAUGGUGGCCAAGCAUAAUAAUAUGUAGUUUACAGACUAAUCCUAAUGCACGUAAAGAUUAAUUCUCAUAAAAGAAAAUUAAGGUACCGUUUGGUUCGGGUAUAAGCAAGAACUAGCUAUUACAGGAAUAGAUACAAGUAUGGAGAUAAGAAAAAUAAUGUUUGGAUGAAAAUUGAAUUGUUUCUGGGGAUAAAAAUAAUUUUAGAUAGUUUUAUAUAAAAAAUGAAGAUGUUGGUAGGAAUAAUCGAGAAUUACUAUUCUCGAAUAAAAAAUUAACGUUUGGAUAUAAAAGAAAGGAUAAGGAUCUAUUUCUAUUCCAAUUUCCUUACCAAACGUUGCAUAAAAGAAUAAAAUUUAAUAGUGGC
Molecule: long non-coding RNA, 1505 nt
Filed under: Ananas comosus (pineapple)
Lineage: Eukaryota; Viridiplantae; Streptophyta; Magnoliopsida; Poales; Bromeliaceae
Description: long non-coding RNA (ACOM_LNC004292)
Source: RNAcentral